AGAGUUUGAUCCUGGCUCAGAACGAACGCUGGCGGCAGGCCUAAUACAUGCAAGUCGAGCGCGCCCUUCGGGGUGAGCGGCGGACGGGUUAGUAACGCGUGGGAACGUGCCCUUCUCUAAGGAAUAGCCACUGGAAACGGUGAGUAAUACCUUAUACGCCCCCCAAUCAAAUUCCAUUUGGUUGACGGAAAUUCUGUUGAAUGCCGGAUGGCAUUUGAUGGGGGGGAAAGAUUUAUCGGAGAAGGAUCGGCCCGCGUUAGAUUAGAUAGUUGGUGGGGUAAUGGCCUACCAAGUCUACGAUCUAUAGCUGGUUUUAGAGGAUGAUCAGCAACACUGGGACUGAGACACGGCCCAGACUCCUACGGGAGGCAGCAGUAGGGAAUCUUGGACAAUGGGCGCAAGCCUGAUCCAGCCAUGCCGCGUGAGUGAAGAAGGCCUUAGGGUCGUAAAGCUCUUUCGCCUGUGAUGAUAAUGACAGUAGCAGGUAAAGAAACCCCGGCUAACUCCGUGCCAGCAGCCGCGGUAAUACGGAGGGGGUUAGCGUUGUUCGGAAUUACUGGGCGUAAAGCGCGCGUAGGCGGAUUGGAAAGUUAGAGGUGAAAUCCCGGGGCUCAACCCCGGAACGGCCUUUAAAACUCCCAGUCUAGAGUUCGAGAGAGGUGAGUGGAAUUCCAAGUGUAGAGGUGAAAUUCGUAGAUAUUUGGAGGAACACCAGUGGCGAAGGCGGCUCACUGGCUCGAUACUGACGCUGAGGUGCGAAAGUGUGGGGAGCAAACAGGAUUAGAUACCCUGGUAGUCCACACCGUAAACGAUGAAUGCCAGUCGUCGGAUAGUAUACUAUUCGGUGACACACCUAACGGAUUAAGCAUUCCGCCUGGGGAGUACGGUCGCAAGAUUAAAACUCAAAGGAAUUGACGG
RNAcentral lists this ribosomal RNA (918 nucleotides) under uncultured marine bacterium. RNAcentral describes it as "bacterial SSU rRNA". It matches the Rfam family "Bacterial small subunit ribosomal RNA", at positions 8 to 916 of the family's 1533-position model. The record is from RNAcentral.